CUGUGAGGAGCUGAGCCCGGCUGGUUGAGGUGAGGAGCUGGUGGGGCCGGCAGUGAGAAGGUCGCAUAGUUGGCCCUGCAAGGCGGAUGGAGCUGCUUUCUGUUGCCCAAGAGCAUGCCAGGGGCCGGUCAGGAUCCACAGAGUUCUUUCUGCUUCAUCGCCUUGUGCUCCUGCCCCUGGGAGCUGUGGAUCCCAGAUCCAGAUGACAGCCCACCUUGCUGGCAGGAUGCGCCAGUCCCCUGGGCCUGAAGAAUAACAGCAUCCCUGACAAGCAGAUCACGGCCUCCAGCAGCUACAAGACCUGGGGCUUGCAUGUCUUCAGCUGGAACCCCUCCUACGCACGGCUGGACAAGCAGGGCAACUUCAACGCCUGGGUUGCGGGGAGCUACGGUAACGAUCAGUGGCUGCAGGUGGACCUGGGCUCCCCGAAGGAGAUGACAGGCAUCAUCACCCAGGGAGCCCGUAACUUUGGCUCUGUCCAGUUUGUGGCAUCCUACAAGGUUGCCUACAGUAAUGACAGUGCGAACUGGACUGAGUACCAGGACCCCAGGACUGGCAGCAGUAAGAUCUUCCCUGGCAACUGGGACAACCACUCCCACAAGAAGAACUUAUUUGAGACGCCCAUCCUGGCUCGCUAUGUGCGCAUCCUGCCCGUAGCCUGGCACAACCGCAUCGCCCUGCGCCUGGAGCUGCUGGGCUGUUAGUGGCCGCCUGCCACCCCCAGGUCUUCCUGCUUUCCAUGGGCCCGCUGCCUCUUGGCUUCUCAGCCCCUUUAAAUCACCAUAGGGCUGGGGACUGGGG
Molecule: small RNA, 801 nt
Filed under: Pongo abelii (Sumatran orangutan)
Lineage: Eukaryota; Metazoa; Chordata; Mammalia; Primates; Hominidae
Description: retained intron
Source: RNAcentral